RNAcentral lists this ribosomal RNA (1466 nucleotides) under metagenome. Its description in RNAcentral is "bacterial LSU rRNA". It matches the Rfam family "Bacterial large subunit ribosomal RNA", at positions 1482 to 2925 of the family's 2925-position model. The record is from RNAcentral.
UUAGGCCAGCUUGGCGUUGGUUGUCCAAGUUUAAGGUGGUAGGCUGAAAUCUUAGGUAAAUCCGGGGUUUCAAGGCCGAGAGCUGAUGACGAGUCGUCUUUUAGAUGACGAAGUGGUUGAUGCCAUGCUUCCAAGAAAAGCUUCUAAGCUUCAGGUAACCAGGAACCGUACCCCAAACCGACACAGGUGGUCGGGUAGAGAAUACCAAGGCGCUUGGGAGAACUCGGGUGAAGGAACUAGGCAAAAUGGCACCGUAACUUCGGGAGAAGGUGCGCCGGCUAGGGUGAAGGAUUUACUCCGUAAGCUCUGGCUGGUCGAAGAUACCAGGCCGCUGCGACUGUUUAUUAAAAACACAGCACUCUGCAAACACGAAAGUGGACGUAUAGGGUGUGACGCCUGCCCGGUGCCGGAAGGUUAAUUGAUGGGGUUAGCGCAAGCGAAGCUCUUGAUCGAAGCCCCGGUAAACGGCGGCCGUAACGAUAACGGUCCUAAGGUAGCGAAAUUCCUUGUCGGGUAAGUUCCGACCUGCACGAAUGGCGUAACGAUGGCGGCGCUGUCUCCACCCGAGACUCAGUGAAAUUGAAAUCGCUGUGAAGAUGCAGUGUAUCCGCGGCUAGACGGAAAGACCCCGUGAACCUUUACUGUAGCUUUGCACUGGACUUUGAGCCUGCUUGUGUAGGAUAGGUGGGAGGCUUUGAAGCGUGGACGCCAGUUCGCGUGGAGCCAUCCUUGAAAUACCACCCUGGCAUGCUUGAGGUUCUAACUCUGGUCCGUAAUCCGGAUCGAGGACAGUGUAUGGUGGGCAGUUUGACUGGGGCGGUCUCCUCCUAAAGAGUAACGGAGGAGUACGAAGGUGCGCUCAGACCGGUCGGAAAUCGGUCGCAGAGUAUAAAGGCAAAAGCGCGCUUGACUGCGAGACAGACACGUCGAGCAGGUACGAAAGUAGGUCUUAGUGAUCCGGUGGUUCUGUAUGGGAGGGCCAUCGCUCAACGGAUAAAAGGUACUCCGGGGAUAACAGGCUGAUACCGCCCAAGAGUUCAUAUCGACGGCGGUGUUUGGCACCUCGAUGUCGGCUCAUCACAUCCUGGGGCUGAAGCCGGUCCCAAGGGUAUGGCUGUUCGCCAUUUAAAGUGGUACGCGAGCUGGGUUUAGAACGUCGUGAGACAGUUCGGUCCCUAUCUGCCGUGGGCGUUUGAGAUUUGAGAGGGGCUGCUCCUAGUACGAGAGGACCGGAGUGGACGAACCUCUGGUGUUCCGGUUGUCACGCCAGUGGCAUUGCCGGGUAGCUAUGUUCGGAAAAGAUAACCGCUGAAAGCAUCUAAGCGGGAAACUUGCCUCAAGAUGAGAUCUCACUGGGAACUUGAUUCCCCUGAAGGGCCGUCGAAGACUACGACGUUGAUAGGCUGGGUGUGUAAGCGUUGUGAGGCGUUGAGCUAACCAGUACUAAUUGCCCGUGAGGCUUGACC